CAGACUCUACUGAUUGGUGUGCUGUAAUCUGAUGAGAACCACCUGAGAGGGCUCCCCAUCAGCUCAGAGUCAAACCCAUCUGCCUCCCUUUGAUAGACCAAAGAUCUGCAAAGACCUUUUGGGGUUGGAUGCUGUUCCCUGAGCAGUGGCUGUCUGAGAUCUAUGGUGGUUCCCGGUGUGGUGGCUGGAAGUCCAGGGAUCUGAGCAUGAACAACAUCAGCCAGCUGCAGCCCAGCGCCUUCGGCCGCCUGCAAUUCCUGGAGGAGCUGGGUUAAUUGCUGCUGCAGGGUUGGGGCAGGAUGCACCUUCAGGCUACGCUGCGUGUGCCAAACACCAGAAUUUAAGAACCAGCCCAUCGUGCAAAAGUGAGCCCAGAGCAGAGCCAGAAAACGGGGAGCUUCGUUCACCGUCCGCACGCAGCUCCCCUGCACCAAAGCCACGAGAACUGCUGGGCGCGCGGCGGCUGGGCAGCGGUGGGGCUGCGGCCCCGCAGAUCAGAGCAGGGACGGCCGUCCUGCAGCGCUGUGCUCAGGCACAGCUCCGUCCCGCUCUGCAGGGAUCAGCACGAGGCUGUGUGUCAGCAGAGGAGUGGCCACGCUUCUGAAAGUGUAAAAUUAACCACCAGCAUGAGCAACCACAGCGUCCCUUGGGGGCCCGGCAGUCAGAGCCUGGAAGGGGGCAGAAGACUGAGGCCGGCCUUGUAUGGUUGUGUUCCGCUUGACCAUGAGAAAUCCCUCCGGGUGCCGUUCUCAUGCUUUUGCUCCUUUCUAUGCAAUGCCUUCUGCUGAAAAAUGCAGUUUCUUCAAAACACCAUUAUUCCAUAGCAAGAAACACUGGUGUUAUUGUUGUAUAUGAGGUACGUGAUGUAAACUUGUGGUGCAUGUAGCACUUAAAACAGUGUCUAAAUGGAGCACUUUGACUGCACUGAAUCCCCUCUCACAGCCAACGCUGCAGAUGACAGGUAUUUCUGAAAAGGGCAGGUUUCUAAAGGUUGGAUUCCUUACCAGUAACGUCAGUGUGAUGCUGAGGCAUUCGUGUAUCGCAGAGGGGCAGUAAGCGAUGCCAUCCCAUGCUCUGCCACCUGUGCUUGUGUUCAUGAAGCAGUGACUCCCAAAUCAUCAGUGCUGUGUAAUGAACAGCAGCUUCUGUGAGCAGAAGGCUUUCCCUGUGCUCACCGGUGCUGAUUUGUGGCUGCACGUUUGCAGGUGGACUCCUUGGAACAGUCGAUGUUGACCAAAAAGCCCAGAGGAGAUUCUGACACCCACUGUUCCCAUAACAGCCCCGAUCUCACAGUGAUCAAAUUGCAAUACUUUUAUUUUCAAAUGGUCUUCAAACUCAUCUUCUUCAUCUCUCUGUCUCUUGCAUUAAUUAAGCUUGCAGGGACUCCCAGCCUCCCCAUUUCCGAGCUGGGCACGACUCCUUUUUUUCGCCCUCCUGUAGCUCUGCUCUCGUGCUGCCCUCAGGAGAUGCGUUUUCCAAGGUCUUGCCUCCGUCUUGCAGCCAUUCUCUUCCCAUUUUGUCAAGCACCCAAAGCACUCACAGGUCCUCACACACAGGCUGUGCUCUCUCGUAUACAAUUAAUGGCUGUCUUGCUGCAAGCAGUCGUGUCCUGAUGACACGUCGUGCACAAACAGAACAGUCUAAACCAGCAAUGAAUAAAUAUUCAUAGACACCAAUGGAGCCAGCUUCCCACAGCCAAAAAUAAUUAUGAAUGACACAAAUCAAGAGGGAAAAUUAAACAGGAAAAUUUGAAAAAUAACUGGAAGUUGUUAAAGAACAUUUCACUGGAGUUUCCAAACGCCACAACUGCUCAUUGGGAAGGUAGAGGUGUUUUGAGUAGGAAAAAAUCACCGCCAUAAGGAGAAAUGGAAACUGUGGCGUUUUGGAUCUGCACUCAUCCAAGUUCACACUUCAAUCAUACGGUAAAACACAGAAGUCAUAGUUAUGGACAUCAAGCGAUGGAUUUGAAAUCAAGGAAGUGAGGAAAGAUUGUCUAUAAUAGGAAGAACUGAAAGUGACCCUUCCAACAACAGCACCUGGGCAGCAGCGGUGUGUGUGUUGUUCAUAGGGAUGUCAGGGCCAGCACUGCAGCUUAGCUGGCUUCUCCCUUCAGCUUUCACUUUCCUGUAAUCCUCAGAGGCAUCUCGAAGUCUCUUUGCCAUUCCUGCCCUUGAACACAUACAGAAUCACAUCGUCCUGGGAGCGACGGUGGAGCAGAACGAAAUUCCAGCCUCAGCCUCCUGUUAGACAGUGCUGACUGGGGUCUGAUACGCGAUGGCACCCAAAGG
This is a long non-coding RNA of Tympanuchus pallidicinctus (lesser prairie-chicken), 2288 nucleotides long. RefSeq lists it as uncharacterized. NCBI's taxonomy places the organism in Eukaryota, Metazoa, Chordata, Aves, Galliformes, Phasianidae. The record is from RefSeq and is a predicted model, not a curated record. The transcript has 3 exons.